CAAUAGCGUAUAUUAAAGUUGUUGCAGUUAAAAAGCUCGUAGUUGGAUUUCUGUGAGAGUGCCGGUGUCGGCUGAUGCUUGUACGCAGGCGCUCUUACAUCCUUCUGUUAACUCAUCUUGGCAUUUUAUUGCUGGUUGAGGGCUCAGAUAUUUUACCUUGAGAAAAUUAGAGUGUUUCAGGCAGGCUUAUGCCGGAAUACAUUAGCAUGGAAUAAUGGAACAGGACCUGUGCGUCUCUCGGGGCGCCGGUCUCCGUUAUUGGUUUCGGGGACUAAUGUAAUGAUUAAUAGGGAUAGUUGGGGGCAUUAGUAUUUAAUAGUCAGAGGUGAAAUUCUCGGAUUUGUUAAAGACUAACUUAUGCGAAAGCAUUCGCCAAGGAUGUUUUCAUUAA
RNAcentral lists this ribosomal RNA (391 nucleotides) under uncultured eukaryote. Its description in RNAcentral is "partial 18S ribosomal RNA". It matches the Rfam family "Eukaryotic small subunit ribosomal RNA", at positions 592 to 976 of the family's 1831-position model. The record is from RNAcentral.